This 253-nucleotide ribosomal RNA is filed under the name uncultured bacterium. Its description in RNAcentral is "partial 16S ribosomal RNA". It matches the Rfam family "Bacterial small subunit ribosomal RNA", at positions 524 to 776 of the family's 1533-position model. The record is from RNAcentral.
UACGGAGGUCCCGAGCGUUGUUCGGAUUCAUUGGGCGUAAAGGGUGCGUAGGCGGUUUUCUAAGUUUGAUGUGAAAUCCCGGGGCUUAACCCUGGAAUUGCAUUGAAUACUGGGAGACUAGAGUACUGGAGAGGAAACUGGAAUUUACGGUGUAGCAGUGAAAUGCGUAGAGAUCGUAAGGAAGACCAGUGGCGAAGGCGAGUUUCUGGACAGUUACUGACGCUGAGGCACGAAGGCCAGGGGAGCAAACGGG